Molecule: ribosomal RNA, 465 nt
Filed under: uncultured bacterium
Lineage: Bacteria
Description: partial 16S ribosomal RNA
Rfam family: Bacterial small subunit ribosomal RNA
Source: RNAcentral
GACGAACGCUGGCGGCGUGCUUAACACAUGCAAGUCGUACGGUAAGGCCCUUUCGGGGGUACACGAGUGGCGAACGGGUGAGUAACACGUGAGUAACCUGCCCACAACUUUGGGAUAACGCUAGGAAACUGGUGCUAAUACUGGAUAUGUGCUCCUGCUGCAUGGUGGGGGUUGGAAAGCUCCGGCGGUUGUGGAUGGACUCGCGGCCUAUCAGCUUGUUGGUGGGGUAGUGGCCUACCAAGGCGGCGACGGGUAGCCGGCCUGAGAGGGUGACCGGCCACAUUGGGACUGAGAGACGGCCCAGACUCCUACGGGAGGCAGCAGGGGGGAAUAUUGCACAAUGGGCGCAAGCCUGAUGCAGCAACGCCGCGUGCGGGAUGACGGCCUUCGGGUUGUAAACCGCUUUCAGCAGGGACGAAGCUUUUUGUGACGGUACCUGCAGAAGAAGCACCGGCUAACUACGUG